UGAGGAAUAUUGGUCAAUGGGCGCGAGCCUGAACCAGCCAAGUCGCGUGAGGGAUGACGGCCCUAUGGGUUGUAAACCUCUUUUGUCGGGGAGCAAAAGACGCUACGAGUAGCGUUAUGAGAGUACCCGAAGAAAAAGCAUCGGCUAACUCCGUGCCAGCAGCCGCGGUAAUACGGAGGAUGCGAGCGUUAUCCGGAUUUAUUGGGUUUAAAGGGUGCGCAGGCGGACUUUCAAGUCAGCGGUAAAAUUGCGGGGCUCAACCCCGUCGAGCCGUUGAAACUGGGAGCCUUGAGUGAGCGAGAAGUAUGCGGAAUGCGUGGUGUAGCGGUGAAAUGCAUAGAUAUCACGCAGAACUCCGAUUGCGAAGGCAGCAUACCGGUGCUCAACUGACGCUCAUGCACGAAAGCGUGGGUAUCGAACAGG
Molecule: ribosomal RNA, 423 nt
Filed under: uncultured bacterium
Lineage: Bacteria
Description: bacterial SSU rRNA
Rfam family: Bacterial small subunit ribosomal RNA
Source: RNAcentral